This 1442-nucleotide long non-coding RNA is filed under the name Nicotiana tabacum (common tobacco). RNAcentral describes it as "long non-coding RNA (NTAB_LNC002600)". The record is from RNAcentral. Lineage: Eukaryota; Viridiplantae; Streptophyta; Magnoliopsida; Solanales; Solanaceae.
CAAGGUUAUGAUACAAUUCGUACUAAACUCGUGAUAAUUUAUUGCAAACUCAUUUCAUCAAAAACUCCUAGUGACCCGCCAUUAGUCUUGGCGAGGAAAAUCUUGUGACAUCCGCUCGAAAUCAAACUCCAACUUGUAACUCAAAGCUAUUUUUGCACAAUUUAUUGAAAUGGAGUGAAAACAUAAACCACGACACGAAAAUAGGCUAUUCAUUUAAACCUCGUCUAAUGGGUGAAGGAGCUUAUCAUAUCUCCCUGAACAAGUGCAUUAAAGCUUGGACUAGAGUAAAAAACUUGAUAAUUGCAGCAAAUCCGAAAGCUUACCAUGAAAUCUCGAAGAGCAAUUGGGCCUACCACGGCCCAUUUUGGACUGUUUCUGUAGUCGUAUUUCUUCUCAUAAGCUGGACAUUUCCCUUUCCGCCAUUGAUGGCAGUACGAAGCUGUGACUGUGUGGUUAAAAGUUAAAAGUAAGAGUUCUAAUAAAUAGCGGAGUAAGAAUUAAAAGAAAAGCGGUUAAAUGAAAAUUACUACUCCCUACUACGUACAUGAGUUAAAAAAGACAUAGUUUUGGCACUAAAUUUUGCAAAGGGAGAACAAAGUAAUACUAAUAGAGUAUAACUUUAUUAGUAUAAUAAUAAUAAUAAUAAUAAUACUUUUGGGGCCUCUAUAUUUUGAGGUCUAAAGUGGUGGCUUCAUCCGCUUUACCCUUAAACCGCUGCGUCCAAAGUGAAUUCCGGAUACAAAUAAGAAACAAAAAAAAAAAAUCUAUCGACUUAAAAGGAUCUUAUAGUCGGGAAUUUAGAAUUAAAAAAAAAGUAGGACGAUGAUUUGAUAGAAGACUUAAAAGGACUGUCUUGAGAAACAAACAAAUCCUUCAAUUCGAAAGUUCACGUAUCCAAUCCUCCUAUCCCUUAGUUCAUUUUGUAGAAUCAACAGAGAUGCGAAAGAACAAACUAGAAAUUUAAAGAAAUAAUUUAGAAAAACACCAAUUGAAAAUAAAAUUAAUAAUCUUUUCUUUUCUCUCCUUUGAUCUAUUUCUUACUUUACUUAUUUUGUAUAAUCAAUACAAAUAGACCACAUACCUUUCAGGAAUAGCCAUUACAAUCCUCUGUCGUACACCACCCAAUGCUCAAAAAGCAAACAAAGAGAAAUUGUUGAUCAUUAGCUUCAGAAAAAAGAAGAGAGAGAUCUAAACAUUCGUGUUGUGAUAUUUAAGCUCAGGCAUUUAUAUAUCGGUUACUAAAGAUGCAUUGAAUUAGUAAUACUCUGAUUGAUGUAUUACAAACAGCAGUAGUUUCCUAAAAGAGGAGAGGGUCAAAGAAAAUUUGAACCUAUCUUGGAGGUGAACUUGACAUGUCUGUAAUUAAAAAAUCUUUCCCUUCUAUUUGGUUCAACCAUGACCAAAUCUUUAUUUUGUGGUUGAUUUAAUUUUUCCUAGGAUUU